UAUCAGUUGCAAAUGGGAAGUAAGACGC
Molecule: non-coding RNA, 28 nt
Filed under: Rattus norvegicus (Norway rat)
Lineage: Eukaryota; Metazoa; Chordata; Mammalia; Rodentia; Muridae
Source: RNAcentral